UACGGAGGGUGCAAGCAUUAAUCGGAAUGAUUGGGCGUAAAGGGCGCGUAGGCGGGAUAAAAGUUAGAUGUGAAAUUCUGAAGCUCAACUUCAGAGCUGCAUUUAAAACUCUUAUUCUGGAGGGAUGGCGGAGGAAACGGAAUUCCACGUGUAGCGGUGAAAUGCGUAGAUAUGUGGAAGAACACCGGUGGCGAAAGCGGUUUCCUAGCUAUUACCUGACGCUGAGGCGCGAGAGCAAGGGGAGCAAACAGGAUUAGAUACCCCGGUAGU
RNAcentral lists this ribosomal RNA (270 nucleotides) under uncultured bacterium. Its description in RNAcentral is "partial 16S ribosomal RNA". It matches the Rfam family "Bacterial small subunit ribosomal RNA", at positions 524 to 794 of the family's 1533-position model. The record is from RNAcentral.